Molecule: ribosomal RNA, 253 nt
Filed under: uncultured prokaryote
Description: partial 16S ribosomal RNA
Rfam family: Bacterial small subunit ribosomal RNA
Source: RNAcentral
ACGGGGGGGGCAAGCGUUGUUCGGAAUUACUGGGCGUAAAGGGCUCGUAGGCGGCCAACUAAGUCCGACGUGAAAUCCCCAGGCUUAACCUGGGAACUGCGUCGGAUACUGGAUGGCUUGAAUUCGGGAGAGGGAUGCAGAAUUCCAGGUGUAGCGGUGAAAUGCGUAGAUAUCUGGAGGAAUACCGGUGGCGAAGGCGGCAUCCUGGACCAUAACUGACGCUGAUGCACGAAAGCUAGGGGAGCAAACAGGA